Non-coding RNA from Acidovorax sp. JS42, 80 nucleotides. The record is from Rfam. Lineage: Bacteria; Pseudomonadati; Pseudomonadota; Betaproteobacteria; Burkholderiales; Comamonadaceae.
CCCCCGCUUCACCUCCCUGAGCGGGCCCCGCUGCCUGCGACGCGGCGGGGUUUUCCGCCCGGAUUUCCGGGCAUUUUUUU